This 253-nucleotide ribosomal RNA is filed under the name uncultured bacterium. RNAcentral describes it as "partial 16S ribosomal RNA". It matches the Rfam family "Bacterial small subunit ribosomal RNA", at positions 524 to 776 of the family's 1533-position model. The record is from RNAcentral.
UACGUAGGGACCGAGCGUUGUCCGGAAUUAUUGGGCGUAAAGAGCUCGUAGGCGGUUUGUCGCGUCUGCUGUGAAAGCCCGGGGCUCAACCUCGGGUCUGCAGUCGAUACGAGCAAACUAGAGUGUUGCAGGGGAGACUGGAAUUCCUGGUGUAGCGGUGAAAUGCGCAGAUAUCAGGAGGAACACCGGUGGCGAAGGCGGGUCUCUGGGCAACAACUGACGCUGAGGAGCGAAAGCGUGGGGAGCGAACAGG